UACGGGGGGAGCAAGCGUUGUUCGGAUUUACUGGGCGUAAAGGGCGCGUAGGCGGCCACCGCAAGUCGGUUGUGAAAUCUCUGGGCUUAACCCAGAAAGGUCAACCGAUACUGCGGGGCUAGAGUGCAGAAGGGGCAACUGGAAUUCUCGGUGUAGCGGUGAAAUGCGUAGAUAUCAAGAGGAACACCUGCGGCGAAGGCGGGUUGCUGGGCUGACACUGACGCUGAUGCGCGAAAGCUAGGGGAGCGAACGGG
Molecule: ribosomal RNA, 254 nt
Filed under: uncultured bacterium
Lineage: Bacteria
Description: partial 16S ribosomal RNA
Rfam family: Bacterial small subunit ribosomal RNA
Source: RNAcentral